GUGGGGAAUAUUGCGCAAUGGGGGAAACCCUGACGCAGCAACGCCGCGUGAGUGAUGAAGGCUUUCGAGUCGUAAAACUCUGUCUUUGGGGACGAAUAAUGACGGUACCCAAGGUGGAAGCCCCGGCUAACUACGUGCCAGCAGCCGCGGUAAUACGUAGGGGGCAAGCGUUGUCCGGAAUCACUGGGCGUAAAGGGCGCGUAGGCGGUUUGUUAAGUCAGGUGUGAAAGUUUUCAGCUUAACUGGAAAAGUGCACUUGAAACUAACUUACUUGAGUACUGGAGAGGUAAGCGGAAUUCCUAGUGUAGCGGUGAAAUGCGUAGAUAUUAGGAAGAACACCGGUGGCGAAGGCGGCUUACUGGACAGAGACUGACGCUGAGGCGCGAAAGCGUGGGGAGCGAACAGGAUUAGAUACCCCGGUAGUCC
RNAcentral lists this ribosomal RNA (426 nucleotides) under uncultured bacterium. RNAcentral describes it as "partial 16S ribosomal RNA". It matches the Rfam family "Bacterial small subunit ribosomal RNA", at positions 354 to 796 of the family's 1533-position model. The record is from RNAcentral.